This 253-nucleotide ribosomal RNA is filed under the name uncultured bacterium. Its description in RNAcentral is "partial 16S ribosomal RNA". It matches the Rfam family "Bacterial small subunit ribosomal RNA", at positions 524 to 776 of the family's 1533-position model. The record is from RNAcentral.
GACAGAGGAUGCAAGCGUUAUCCGGAAUGAUUGGGCGUAAAGCGUCUGUAGGUGGCUUUUUAAGUCUGCCGUCAAAUCCCAGGGCUUAACCCUGGACAGGCGGUGGAAACUACCAAGCUGGAGUACGGUAGGGGCAGAGGGAAUUUCCGGUGGAGCGGUGAAAUGCGUAGAGAUCGGAAAGAACACCGAUGGCGAAGGCACUCUGCUGGGCCGACACUGACACUGAAAGACGAAAGCCAGGGGAGCGAAUGGG